This is a long non-coding RNA of Apus apus (common swift), 2635 nucleotides long. RefSeq lists it as uncharacterized. The record is from RefSeq and is a predicted model, not a curated record. Lineage: Eukaryota; Metazoa; Chordata; Aves; Apodiformes; Apodidae. The transcript has 3 exons.
GCGGGCCGGGCCGUCCCGGGGCCGCGCUGCCGGCGGGGCGGGCCGGGGGGGGGGGCGGCGGUGUCCGCCUCUUCAUCCGCGCUCGCUGUGGCGGCCGCUCCGCCCGCGCAGGUAGUUGGAGGGCUGGCAGGCAGCGGGUGCUGCAGCCCCUUCCUUCCUUUCUGUUUGUUUGGGGUUUUUUUUUUCCCUUCACCUGGACACCCCGCAGUUUAUGAGAAGUGCGUGAGGUGGUUUUCUUUGCAUGGCGGUCAGUGCGUGGAAGUCUUGAGUCGCGCCUCUGCGAGGUUGACUUGAAAUGCCUGGGUUUGCGUCUGGGCAUCAUGGACAUAUCCAUGGUCGUGGUGAUUCUUGGAUCAUAUGGUUUCUGGAUCAAAGGUUGAUGGCUCACAAGCAUUAAGAGGUUUCAUCUGGACUCAGCUGUACACAUCACAUUUCAGAAGACAGUCUUUGACCCUUUCCUGGACUAGGAAUGGAAGCCAACUGAAGCAGGAGGAUGCUGUUCUUCCAGAACUACUUUGCGGUGCUCUCUUUUGAUGCCAUUGCUGGAAUCAUGCAAACCAGGGUGAUUCCAAGCUACUUUGCUAAUUUGCCUUCAUCCAUCUAUACCAAAUGUGAUAACCACUGCUUAUAAUACAUUGUUUUCAAUCUUCUCUGCACCAUUCUUGCACUCAUUCCCUAGGAAGAAUUUCAGCUGGUGGUUAUAGAUCUUCAGCUCAAUAUUAUGUGCCCCAGAGAAGGCAGAGGGGAUGAAGAGAAGCUCUGCACCCUCCUCUCUUGAUGCCAGCCUGCUUAACUUUCCUGGUAUCUUUAUGGGAAAGCUUUCAGUCAAGUUUAGAGUUUUCCUUCCUUCUGUAAACCUAGUGGGUUUAGACAGCGUGACAGUGGUACAUACUGUCAGCUAAGUGUUGGUACUUAGAUGUGCCUGAGCUCCCUGUAUAGUCAUUGGACAUGAUUCAGGGGCAACAGUCACACAUUUAGUGCAGUUUUAGGAACUGCAUGGUAUCCACAGUUCUAUCUACCCAUCUACCCUCCAGCUGCCACUGAGUCUUCCGUGGGUCAGUCCUGGGUCUCAUCUGCCACCUUCACAUGGAUAUCAUGGAUACCGUAAGUGAUCUCAAACAGCACUGGAGCCUUAUCUGUGGAUAAAUAAAUUAAGCUCCUACCUCACAUCCUUUAGCUUUCUCUAUAUUUACUGGUAAGAAAUAGGUGUCUAUUUAUCUCACCUAUCUGAAAAUGGGCUGGUGUGCCCCCUGGGGAUUCCUGUCUCUAUCCAUUGAUUUAAUAGGAAGUUAAGUGAGUAGAUGAGGUCAGAUAACUUAUUUUUAGAUGGCUGUAGAGAGAUGAAAUGAAUCCCAUCCAUGAUGGCACAUGAUUAAUGCUGGAACAGUAAGCACCUUGCACUUUGCUCUUAAAUGUCAUAAUAAUUUUUUGGUAGAUUUAAUGUGUUUUUAAAAGUGAUCCUGCUUUUAUUAAAUUGAUCCUUGUUAAUUAUAAUCUAAUACAUUUUAGAAGAGGCCUUAAAGGGUAAUGAUUUAUGUAUCUAUGUUCAAAAAUCAGAAAUAUCAGACAGCAAGUCAGCAAACUCCUACUGAAUUCAGAACAUGCAUUUGAGAAGUGAUUUCAAAUCCCUAUGCAAGUCAAAUAGAGGGAGAAGUAUGUACAAGAGAUAUUGUUAUAUUGUAACAAACCAUAAAGAAGCUUUCAACUAUAUAGCAUGUUGACAGGCUGUUCAAAAUCAAGUGUUUAGCCUCACUCUUUACCUCGAUAACCGCGUUUCCCUCUUUGCUUCACACAUAUAUUAUGCCAUACUUAACACACAAUAGGAAAAAAAAAGGUAAUAUUUUCUUUUCUGAGAGCCAACUUUGUCGUGAUGCACCCCAUCACUCCUCUUGUCUUUUAUCAUAAGAAAAGCACCCUGUACUUGCUUAUAUAGCAAACAGAUCUUUCCUAGCAGUAGUCCUGAUAUCCAGCCCAGGGAUUUAUAAGGCCAGGAAGCAAAGUGUAGUCUUGCCCCUCAAGAAUUAACUGCUAGUGUACUCUGCCAAAAACAAAGUGGGGGGAAAUAGGAAAAAAAAGAAAAAAAAAAAGAAAAAAAAAGGAAAACAAACACCAAACAUAACAUUUUUUCUUAAGUCAUGUAUCUCUAAAGAGACUGGAUUUACAUUCUUUCUCUGUAGUCAGUGUUCAUGUUAGCGACACAGCCUCAAUGGUUGAUUAAUACUGAUAAAACAACAUAACAGUAUUUAUAGAUAUGAAGACAGAAGGCAGGGCAUAUUCCUAUUCCUAUUGCAAUGCUCAUUCCACAGAUUUAUUUAUUCAUUGACCAGUCACACCUAGCAUGGUAGUUUUGUGGACAACACAUACCCAGAAGCCUUAGUGGUUUUCAUGCAUUAUCUAUAUCUGCUUUUCUUAGAUAGCUCUUUUCUGAUCACGAUUCAAACAGCUGCUGCAGUUACUGAAUUUCUUCUGGUAUAUCCCACUCAGCUGCUGUGUCUCAAAAGAACUCUGCUGGUCUGAUGAGGAGCUGCAUGUCAAAUGCUAGAAGGAAUGAGGAAUAGUGCAGGGAAAUGUCUGAAAUGUCAAAAACUCAAGAAAAAUCCUCUCAGAAAAAAAUAAAAGUACCUGUGCAAACUCG